RNAcentral lists this ribosomal RNA (468 nucleotides) under uncultured bacterium. RNAcentral's name for it is "partial 16S ribosomal RNA". It matches the Rfam family "Bacterial small subunit ribosomal RNA", at positions 28 to 507 of the family's 1533-position model. The record is from RNAcentral.
GACGAACGCUGGCGGCGUGCUUAACACAUGCAAGUCGAACGGCAAGGCCCUGCUUUUGUUGGGUGCUCGAGUGGCGAACGGGUGAGUAACACGUGAGUAACCUGCCCUUGACUUUGGGAUAACUUCAGGAAACUGGGGCUAAUACCGGAUAGGAGCUCCUGAUGCAUGGUGGGGUGUGGAAAGUUUCGGCGGUUGGGGAUGGCCUCGCGGCUUAUCAGCUUGUUGGUGGGGUAGUGGCUUACCAAGGCUUUGACGGGUAGCCGGCCUGAGAGGGUGACCGGCCACAUGGGGACUGAGGUACGGACCAGUCUCCUACGGGAGGCAGCAGGGGGGAAUAUUGCACAAUGGGCGGAAGCCUGAUGCAGCAGCGCCGCGUGCGUGAUGACGGCCUUCGGGUUGUAAACCGCUUUCGCCUGUGACGAAGCGUGAGUGACGGUAAUGGGUAAAGAAGCACCGGCUAACUACGUG